This 430-nucleotide unclassified non-coding RNA is filed under the name Hevea brasiliensis (rubber tree). Lineage: Eukaryota; Viridiplantae; Streptophyta; Magnoliopsida; Malpighiales; Euphorbiaceae. The record is from RNAcentral.
GCACUACCUUUUUAAACCCUCGGAAAACCCUAGCUCUUCCUCCUCCUUCAAGUAUCAGAGCCAAAAACUUACUCCAGUAGGACCAAUACCAAAAUUGAAGCUUUCCUAUUUAUACAAUACAUAUAGAAACACGGUUAUAAGCCCUCAAUUUUAGAGCAAUUAGAACAUGGAGGUGGAAACUGUAAAUAACGUGAUGUGCCAAUUCACAGACCGGGAAGAGAAGGCUCUUGGAGCUCCCUUGUAUCUUCCUCUGAACGCGUGUCCACAACAGCCUCAACAAAUAGUCAAUAACCUUCUCAACAAUGUAAUUUUAUAAAUUCCUGUUGUUCUGUGCGUCAGUGUGAUACUGGGUCCUUUCGAUUGCUGAGAAAUUGGUAGGAAAAGUAAUAUAAUCAUUGGUUUUUUAAUAUCUGUUAACAGUGGAAUGAAU